AGUAACCAAAAACAACACCGAAGUUUGUAGUUGGGUUAGUAAUAAUUCUAACGUCACCACCACCCGGAGCCCAAGUGUCAUAAAUACCACCAAAGUACAUAGCUUUUAAAACUAAUAACCAAGCACCACAACCUAACAUGAUUAAGUGGUAACCUAAAAUUGAUGUCAUUUUAUUUUUGUCUUUCCA
Molecule: antisense RNA, 187 nt
Filed under: Chlamydomonas raudensis
Lineage: Eukaryota; Viridiplantae; Chlorophyta; Chlorophyceae; Chlamydomonadales; Chlamydomonadaceae
Description: Antisense RNA which regulates isiA expression
Rfam family: Antisense RNA which regulates isiA expression
Source: Rfam by way of RNAcentral